Molecule: ribosomal RNA, 240 nt
Filed under: uncultured bacterium
Lineage: Bacteria
Description: partial 16S ribosomal RNA
Rfam family: Bacterial small subunit ribosomal RNA
Source: RNAcentral
AGCGGCGGACGGGUGAGUAACGCGUGGGUAACCUGCCUCAUACAGGGGGAUAACAGUUGGAAAUGACUGCUAAUACCGCAUAAGACCACAGCACCGCAUGGUGCGGGGGUAAAAACUCCGGUGGUAUGAGAUGGACCCGCGUCUGAUUAGCUAGUUGGUAAGGUAACGGCUUACCAAGGCGACGAUCAGUAGCCGACCUGAGAGGGUGACCGGCCACAUUGGGACUGAGACACGGCCCAA